RNAcentral lists this ribosomal RNA (465 nucleotides) under Vreelandella stevensii. RNAcentral describes it as "partial 16S ribosomal RNA". It matches the Rfam family "Bacterial small subunit ribosomal RNA", at positions 338 to 795 of the family's 1533-position model. The record is from RNAcentral. Lineage: Bacteria; Pseudomonadati; Pseudomonadota; Gammaproteobacteria; Oceanospirillales; Halomonadaceae.
CCUACGGGCGGCUGCAGUGGGGAAUAUUGGACAAUGGGGGCAACCCUGAUCCAGCCAUGCCGCGUGUGUGAAGAAGGCCCUCGGGUUGUAAAGCACUUUCAGUGAGGAAGAACGCCUGGUGGUUAAUACCCAUCAGGAAGGACAUCACUCACAGAAGAAGCACCGGCUAACUCCGUGCCAGCAGCCGCGGUAAUACGGAGGGUGCGAGCGUUAAUCGGAAUUACUGGGCGUAAAGCGCUCGUAGGUGGCUUGAUAAGCCGGUUGUGAAAGCCCCGGGCUCAACCUGGGAACGGCAUCCGGAACUGGCAAGCUAGAGUGCAGGAGAGGAAGGUAGAAUUCCCGGUGUAGCGGUGAAAUGCGUAGAGAUCGGGAGGAAUACCAGUGGCGAAGGCGGCCUUCUGGACUGACACUGACACUGAUGUGCGAAAGCGUGGGUAGCAAACAGGAUUAGAUACCCUUGUAGUC